This 720-nucleotide ribosomal RNA is filed under the name Pseudomonas koreensis. RNAcentral's name for it is "bacterial SSU rRNA". It matches the Rfam family "Bacterial small subunit ribosomal RNA", at positions 1 to 732 of the family's 1533-position model. Lineage: Bacteria; Pseudomonadati; Pseudomonadota; Gammaproteobacteria; Pseudomonadales; Pseudomonadaceae. The record is from RNAcentral.
AGAGUUGAUCCGGUCAGAUUGAACGCUGGCGGCAGGCCUAACACAUGCAAGUCGAGCGGAUGAAAGGAGCUUGCUCCGAUUCAGCGGCGGACGGGUGAGUAAUGCCUAGGAAUCUGCCUGGUAGUGGGGGACAACGUUUCGAAAGGAACGCUAAUACCGCAUACGUCCUACGGGAGAAAGCAGGGGACCUUCGGGCCUUGCGCUAUCAGAUGAGCCUAGGUCGGAUUAGCUAGUUGGUGAGGUAAUGGCUCACCAAGGCGACGAUCCGUAACUGGUCUGAGAGGAUGAUCAGUCACACUGGAACUGAGACACGGUCCAGACUCCUACGGGAGGCAGCAGUGGGGAAUAUUGGACAAUGGGCGAAAGCCUGAUCCAGCCAUGCCGCGUGUGUGAAGAAGGUCUUCGGAUUGUAAAGCACUUUAAGUUGGGAGGAAGGGUUGUAGAUUAAUACUCUGCAAUUUUGACGUUACCGACAGAAUAAGCACCGGCUAACUCUGUGCCAGCAGCCGCGGUAAUACAGAGGGUGCAAGCGUUAAUCGGAAUUACUGGGCGUAAAGCGCGCGUAGGUGGUUUGUUAAGUUGGAUGUGAAAUCCCCGGGCUCAACCUGGGAACUGCAUCCAAAACUGGCAAGCUAGAGUAUGGUAGAGGGUGGUGGAAUCUGUGUAGCGGUGAAAUGCGUAGAUAUAGGAAGGAACACCAGUGCGAAGGCGACCACCGAC